UAACAGCAAUGAAACAAAUUAUAUAUAUUCCAUGUAUCAGUCAAGAUACAAAUAAAAUGAUGUUUGAAAAUAAGUAUUUAAAGUGAUUUGUCAUAACUGUAUGCUUAGUAUGCUUUUGUCCUUUAACAUCUCUGCAAGAUAUGAAUAUCAUUAACUUAUGCAUAAAUGUAAGCUUGGAUUGACCACUGAAAAAUCAUCAUGCAAACACUAAAUUUUUUUCCCUCCAGCUUGCUGUUAUCCUUUUCCAUGGAUUCCCCUGUGUGGCUCUGUUUCUCUUCUGGAGCUUUUCAGCAGAUUUCAAGUAAAGAUGCUCAUCCUACUCUUGGCCUGCCUCGCAGAGACUCUAUGAGAAAAUUUCCUCACGGAUACAGACUGCUGUGAAAUGAUCAGAAACAGAUGUAUUUUCAUUUCGUGAGCCCAGGUACUUCAAUUUAAGGCUCAGGACUGUUUGAAUCUCAGAAUAUAAUGUCGGUAUAUAGAAAGCAAUUAUCUGUUUCCCUCAUCAAUGACACUUCCUCAGGAUCCUUCUAGUAUGCCAGUAAAAAUAGAAAUGAAGUACCUAGCAAUUGAAAAUGUUUUUUUUUCUCAAGAAAAAUAAUGUAUUUUGAAAGUGUCAUCUUCAAAGAAGCUUAUCAGUUCACAAAAAGUUUUUCUUAGGAACCUGCACAAAACUAAGGGAAAUGCUGUGUUACAACUACAUUUCUCUUUAGGUAUGUCAUCUACUACCAAGGUGAUAAAAAUGGGAGAGGAAAUAGAACAGCAUCAUUGUAUCAAAUAGAAAUAGAAGAAAUAGAACAGAAUCAUUGUAUCAGUUAAACUGACAUACGUAUUUCUUUUCAAUGAGGGAAUCUGAAAAUAGUCACAUUAAAUAUCCAUUCAAAUGCAAACAUUUAUGGAGCUCUCCUUCAGUGUCAAAGAUCUGAAUGAUUAAAACAUGGGUCUUGUCCUCUCUCAGUUAACAAUCAAAAUAAUUUCAGCAAAUUAUUACAUGUCCCUGGAUUCUGGACUGAUGGCCUCAAAGAAGAGGUAGCUUUUAAGAAAUUAAUUAGGUUCCUGUUUUUAAUGCUAUUCUCAGUAAAAAUCAUGAUGAGGAGAGAAAGACUGCAAACAGCACAAUUUUUUGUGAACCCUAAAAUAGAUCUCUGGCUAUAGAGACUGCGAUAAACUAAGCAGACCUCAGUUUAUAUACCAGGCUUAUAAUCAAACUUCCAACAAUUUUGUUAAUGUGGCACAGGAUCCUGUUUUAUGGGCAUUCAUUUCCAUUCAAAGUAUAAAUGUCACACAUAGGCAUAGUGGAUCAAUAUAAUUCUGAAAAAUCUUUCUUCAAAAGCAAUUAAGCAGUAAGGUCAACAGAUACAUGGGAUCAAAUAUACAGAUAGGAAAAGUGCAUUUAUCUAGAUGAAGCACAAAAUCCUAUUUCUCAAGGAAAGAUAUCACCAUUUUUUGUUUCAUCAUGAAAGAUUUCUAAAGUGGAUAUUAUUUCAACUAGGCAUUUAAAUGAAUAACAGGAGUAAAUGAGUACUUUAGGUAAAGUAUUCAUGGUAUGAUCGAUCAUUUAUUUUGGAUUCUCCUCCGUCCUCCUUGAGAUGAUGGUAGGGAAAUAAAGUAUUAUAAACUCACAAACAUAAAGAGAAAAGGAGACAGAUGAUGGCAUUUUUUGAAAUGGGAAACUCAGAAAACAGGAAGCUGGAAUCUACAGACAGACAAGCCCAGUAGAAGCAAGAAGACUCAUUCUGCAUUAACUGCGGUGAGGUUCUCGAAUUAGAGGCUUUAGAGAUCUCAGAAGUUAGGGGUAAAGGAUAGGUUUGAGAAGAGAAAGACUGAAAGGUAUGGUGAACAUAUAUUUCACGACUGUAUUAGGAUGCUCUUGAAGUAAAAGAUACAUUACUAACUAUUUAACCAUGAUAAGUCACAUACAUUAGGACUGUCCUGGGCACUCACAUCAAUUCUAUGUAGAAGUACCUAUUCAAACCUUGCUCUUAUUUUUUUAAAUUGAAUUAUACCCCUUUUCUUUUCUCUUCUCUUCUCCUCUCCUCUCCU
Molecule: long non-coding RNA, 2040 nt
Organism: Felis catus (domestic cat)
Lineage: Eukaryota; Metazoa; Chordata; Mammalia; Carnivora; Felidae
Exons: 3
Source: RefSeq, a predicted model, not a curated record